GAUCCUGGCUCAGGAUGAACGCUAGCUACAGGCUUAACACAUGCAAGUCGAGGGGAAACGACAUCGAAAGCUUGCUUUUGAUGGGCGUCGACCGGCGCACGGGUGAGUAACGCGUAUCCAACCUGCCCAUCACUUGGGAAUAACCUUGCGAAAGUAAGACUAAUACCCAAUGAUAUCCCACGAAGGCAUCCGAAUGGGAUUAAAGGUUUACCGGUGUAAGAUGGGGAUGCGUUCCAUUAGAUAGUAGGCGGGG
RNAcentral lists this ribosomal RNA (253 nucleotides) under uncultured bacterium. Its description in RNAcentral is "partial 16S ribosomal RNA". It matches the Rfam family "Bacterial small subunit ribosomal RNA", at positions 15 to 257 of the family's 1533-position model. The record is from RNAcentral.